AAAUAUGGAGGUAACCUGGCUGAGACCUCUGCCACCUUAUUGAUCCUCAGGUCUGGCUGGCUAGCUAUUGUGCGUUCCUCCCUCACCACUCUAGUGUAUCCCUUUAGAGCUGUGUUGGUUGGUCGGAGAGGAUGACCAGCCCAGUGGAGGAAGACCCUGCCUCCUUAGGGGUACACAGGUAGCUUCACUCCCCUGCUAGAAGCUCCAAACAAGCUCUCAAGGUAAAUACAGAAACUGCACAGAUCAUGACUGUGCAGCGUGAUGAUGUAUCAAGUAAAUGCACUCA
Molecule: small nuclear RNA, 286 nt
Filed under: Octodon degus (degu)
Lineage: Eukaryota; Metazoa; Chordata; Mammalia; Rodentia; Octodontidae
Description: 7SK RNA (ENSODEG00000024302.1)
Rfam family: 7SK RNA
About the family: 7SK was discovered as an abundant small nuclear RNA in the mid-70s but a possible function has only recently been suggested. Two independent studies have found that 7SK RNA binds the CDK9/cyclin T complex (known as elongation factor P-TEFb).
Source: RNAcentral